This is a long non-coding RNA of Gymnodraco acuticeps, 545 nucleotides long. RefSeq lists it as uncharacterized. The record is from RefSeq and is a predicted model, not a curated record. The transcript has 4 exons. Lineage: Eukaryota; Metazoa; Chordata; Actinopteri; Perciformes; Bathydraconidae.
GAAGUAUCAGAGAGAGGGCCAGAGGCAGGGAUCAGGAGGCAGAGGAGACUCCAGCUGGACCACAUGCUAUGCUUUGCAAAACCAAGACCACCGAAGUCUGGCUGAUGCAGGAGUAAGGAACCAAGAUGUCUGUGGACUCUUUCCUGAAGACUCACAACCGAGUCGUGCAGUUAAGAAGUCUGAGCGCCACCGUGUGUUCUAUUUUCCUGGAGGUUCUUUUUGAAGAAUCAACCAGAGGGAGUGCAGCUGUCGGUGCAGGAGCACACAGAGGUGGAUUACAAAACUCGCUUCAAGGGCCGUCCUGAACUCGAGGGUCUCAAGGCGAAGAUCAGCCACUCGGACCCCAGACUCACCUUCUUCAUUUUCACUUUCCUGACUCCUAAACUGUUCGUCACUCACAUGUUAGAUCUUUAAUUGUUUGUAUUUAUUCACUGCUGUUUAAGGUGAUCAUUUGCAUACAAAAAGAACUGUACACAUUCAUGUUUGACUUUCUUUUGUGACAAUUUGAAGACAAUAAAACCAAGCCUAUUUUUUACAAUGCAAAA